This is a non-coding RNA of Chelonoidis abingdonii (Abingdon island giant tortoise), 100 nucleotides long. Lineage: Eukaryota; Metazoa; Chordata; Testudines; Testudinidae. The record is from RefSeq and is a predicted model, not a curated record.
AUUUCUGUUAAUAGGGAUGUGAGUCUAGAUCAGUGAUAUUCAGAUCUCAGUGAGUCAGGAGCCAAAUUAGCAAUCGACAUUACCCAAAAGAGCCACAGUA